AGGGACACCUACAGCCUUCGAAGCUUCCACUGUCUCCACCAAUUUUCUUUUCUCCCCUCAAGAUCCUGGAGAGAACACAUACUUCUGGUAACUUGGAAGUAUGGAUACAGACUGGAAGAUGGCAGAGGAGGAGUGACCUACUCUUGCUCCACCCACAAGACACAGCUGGGCUUCUUGGGCCUGCAGUACAUAGGAAAUUGCUAUACACCACUGACCUUGUGACUUGCUUUGACCAAUAACAAGUGCACAGAAGUGACAGUCUACCAGUUUUCAGCCUGGACCAUAAGACACUGUGUUUUAACUUCCUUUUAUACUGAUUGAUCUCCAUGAGGGCUACUUCUCCUUUAAGCCCUUUAUCCUGGGCUCCAGAGUGGAUACCUUCAGGAAGGACUCACCCCUGCUGACUGGACAUCCCAUGAAUGAGAAAGAAGGAUGACUAUUAAUUCUCUGUGUCUUGGGAUGGCUUGUUACACAGCAUACUGUGACAAUAGCUGACUGAUACAAAUAUUUAGAUGAAGUUCUAUAGCCUGGGCAGGGGGAUUGAGAUUGACUAUGUGAGUCAGAGUUCUCUAGAGUGACAGAACUAAUAGAAUGAACAUGUAUUAUGAAGGGAACUUAUUAGAUUGGCUUAUGGGUUAUGAGCUGAGCAAUUCUGGAAGGUCAGGAGAACCUGGUAGCUGCUUAGUCCACCAGGCCAGAUGCCUCAGCAGUCCCAGUCUGACACUGAAGACCUGGAGGAUUCCUGGAGAGCUGCUGGUCUUCAGUCCACUGUGGAAAGCUGGCGGAGCAGGGCUCUGAUGUCUGUGAAGGAUGAUAGCAGCAAGGUAGAUGAAUUCACCAGCAAGAAGCAUAGGCAGCCGGGCAAGAAGCUCUGUGCUCUCUUGGAGCUUCGUUAUAUAUACAGUCCACUGCUGGAAGGGCCGGCCACUCUGGGAGAAGGACUUCCACCUCCCAUCAGCCCUUCCUGGAAAAGUCCUCACAGAGCCAGCCAAGAGGCAUGGCUCUUACUUGACUCCUAAUCUGAUCAAGUUGACAGUAGAACAACCAUCCCAAUACCAGUCUUCCAAUUUUAUUUCUUUCUUUUUGGUCUUCCUGUGUCAGGUGCUGAUGAUACAAUUACAAAAAUCAAUAAAAUAAAUUUAUUAACGA
Long non-coding RNA from Jaculus jaculus (lesser Egyptian jerboa), 1149 nucleotides. RefSeq lists it as uncharacterized. The transcript has 2 exons. The record is from RefSeq and is a predicted model, not a curated record. NCBI's taxonomy places the organism in Eukaryota, Metazoa, Chordata, Mammalia, Rodentia, Dipodidae.